RNAcentral lists this unclassified non-coding RNA (339 nucleotides) under Hevea brasiliensis (rubber tree). The record is from RNAcentral. Lineage: Eukaryota; Viridiplantae; Streptophyta; Magnoliopsida; Malpighiales; Euphorbiaceae.
UCUCCUUUCCAAUUCCAAUUCUGCUCCCUCCAUUGAACCCAAUUCUUUUCCCUUAUGAUAUCAUCACUGAAACAACUUAAAACAUCAAAAACAAAAAGCACAAAAAGCUUCCUAUGAGGUUCAAACAGCUCGAUACUGUGGUUACUACAAAUGCAUACAAGUGGUUGAGGAAAAGUCUCAGAGCAGGGGAAAACGAAAGAAAGGAGGACAAUAAUAAGCAAACGAGAUGUAACAAAAGCAACAAGAAAGAGAAGGAGAGCAGAAAAGGAGCAAAGUUUCUUGGAUGUAGAAUAAUGAAGUUCUGGGUGUUUCUUUUUCUUUUUCGAGUGGGCAAUCGAG